GAAAGGUGUGCUGUCCUUAGAUAGAGAUACUCUCCAAACCAAACUUGGAUGUAACUGUGAAGAAUAAUGUGCCAGGAAGAACUGCCCUGAGAGCAACACUGGGGCCCAUGAAGGACAGCGGACAGAAGACACCUUCUCAGAGGCCAGCACUUCGUCUACCAGAUUGGCUUUCCAAGGAACUCACUGAGCUGCGGGGUGGCUUAUCCUUCCUGUCCGGUAGUACUGGAAAUUUACACCCUUCUUCUUAACAAGUUGAUUGAAAGUCAUACCUGAGCAGGUAAUUUUGGCUUCUUCAUAGUGAUCACAGGUAAGUCCACCCCAUUGCCAGUUCUUGCAGUCCCAAAGAGAAGUUUCAUUUCCGUUACAGCUACUUAGAAACAGCCAUGUGUUUGUUGCCUGGAUUUUGGAGUACACUUGAUAAGAUGUUUUGAGUGCAGAUCCACAUCCCAGCUGCCUGCAAACCACAUCAGCUUCUUUCAGUCCCCAGCCUCUGUCACACACCUUCCCUAACAGUCUCUGAAUCUCCACCUCAACUGUCCCAGCACAGCGGCUGCCUCCACCUCUAAGUCUUAGCUCCAGAUCUGAUCCAUCUGCAAAA
This 598-nucleotide long non-coding RNA is filed under the name Homo sapiens (human). RNAcentral's name for it is "HSALNT0185097". Lineage: Eukaryota; Metazoa; Chordata; Mammalia; Primates; Hominidae. The record is from RNAcentral.